Haplochromis burtoni (Burton's mouthbrooder) is the source of this 746-nucleotide long non-coding RNA. RefSeq lists it as uncharacterized. The transcript has 3 exons. NCBI's taxonomy places the organism in Eukaryota, Metazoa, Chordata, Actinopteri, Cichliformes, Cichlidae. The record is from RefSeq and is a predicted model, not a curated record.
AAUGAAAAUGAAAGUAUGAAAAACAGUUGGAAAGUACCGUUGCCACUAGUUCAUGACCAAGCUAGCUCAGAGCAGUUACGACAAGACAUAAAAAACAGCUGCUGAAACAUUUCUCAGGAUAAUGCAGCCAAUUGAGAUGGCAUUUUUAUCUGUUGGAAGCAUGACUCUGAAAGCAGGAAGUGUGAUAAUUCCUGGGUCUGUGAUCAUAACAGGAAUGAUCUGCACUACACUGGCCGUUGUUACUUACUACUGGAAGAGUAAACCCCACCGACACAGGCAGUGAUGAAGAUAGUUAGUGGAACGAUCUUGCUGAACAUCAAUGCUGCCAUCACAAUGCAACCUUGGAUUCAUUAGAUUCAAUGCUUUUAGGAUAGCAACAAUUGGCUUUUUGUCUGUAGACAAAAGAAUCAUCACACAAGGUGAAAAACAAAGAAGCAGAAGAAAAUGGAUGUAUUAAUUAGAUAAACACUUAUUAAUUGAUUAAAUAAAGCAUCUAGAUCAUUUAACUUGAAUAAAACUUGCAGCUUGUUGACUUUACUGUGUUUAUAAUCUGAAUUAAGAAUCAUCACUGUUUGCUUUGAGCUGUAAUUACUGAUAUAUGUUCAAAUGCUAUGGAUGCUGAAGAUGUGGUAAGGAUAAAUGCUACACACUAAACCAAAAUCUGAUGCUAUUGUUUAAAAUGGUCAUAAUUUCAAUAAAUGUUCGGUUUAUAAUGCAUUAUAAACACACAGCAUGCAAAUAACAUG